Molecule: long non-coding RNA, 224 nt
Filed under: Elaeis guineensis (African oil palm)
Lineage: Eukaryota; Viridiplantae; Streptophyta; Magnoliopsida; Arecales; Arecaceae
Description: long non-coding RNA (EGUI_LNC050842)
Source: RNAcentral
CUUUCAACAUAUUUCAAACCACAAAUGCCAUACUGCUCAAACCAUAUACACAUAUACAUACAUAAGCUGUCAAAAAGAUCAUUCUAUUUUCAUACUUGCAUACAUGUAUAUAAGCUGUAUAAUAACAGGAGACUAACUUUCUUUUCAAAAUAAACCUUUCUCAUGACAAAAAUACAAUGAAAACCCCAAAGUUAGAUAAAAUUCACUCACUACUUAUGGUUGCU